AGGAUGAACGCUGGCGGUCUGCUUAACACAUGCAAGUCGAACGGAGUACCUCGGUACUUAGUGGCGGACGGGUGAGUAACGCGUGAGAAUCUGCCCUUAGGUCGGGGACAACCAUUGGAAACGAUGGCUAAUACCGGAUAAGCCGAGAGGUAAAAGAUUAAUUGCCUAGGGAAGAGCUCGCGUCUGAUUAGCUAGUUGGUGAGGUAAAGGCUCACCAAGGCAUCGAUCAGUAGCUGGUCUGAGAGGAUGAUCAGCCACACUGGGACUGAGACACGGCCCAGACUCCUACGGGAGGCAGCAGUGGGGAAUUUCCGCAAUGGGCGAAAGCCUGACGGAGCAAGACCGCGUGAGGGAGGAAGGCUCGUUGGGUUGUAAACCUCUUUUCUUGGGAAGAACAAAUGACGGUACCCAAGGAAUCAGCAUCGGCUAACUCCGUGCCAGCAGCCGC
RNAcentral lists this ribosomal RNA (448 nucleotides) under uncultured bacterium. RNAcentral describes it as "SSU rRNA". It matches the Rfam family "Bacterial small subunit ribosomal RNA", at positions 26 to 518 of the family's 1533-position model. The record is from RNAcentral.